GACGAACGCUGGCGGCGUGCUUAACACAUGCAAGUCGAACGCUGAAGCUCAGCUUUUGUUGGGUGGAUGAGUGGCGAACGGGUGAGUAACACGUGAGUAACCUGCCUCCUUCUUUGGGAUAACGCCCGGAAACGGGUGCUAAUACUGGAUAUUCACUGGUCUUCGCAUGGGGGUUGGUGGAAAGGGUUUUUCUGGUGGGGGAUGGGCUCGCGGCCUAUCAGCUUGUUGGUGGGGUGAUGGCCUACCAAGGCUUUGACGGGUAGCCGGCCUGAGAGGGUGACCGGUCACAUUGGGACUGAGAUACGGCCCAGACUCCUACGGGAGGCAGCAGUGGGGAAUAUUGCACAAGGGGCGCAAGCCUGAUGCAGCGACGCCGCGUGAGGGAUGGAGGCCUUCGGGUUGUGAACCUCUUUCGCUCAUGGUCAAGCCGCAACAAUGGUUGUGGUGAGGGUAGUGGGUAAAGAAGCGCCGGCUAACUACGUG
Molecule: ribosomal RNA, 483 nt
Filed under: uncultured bacterium
Lineage: Bacteria
Description: partial 16S ribosomal RNA
Rfam family: Bacterial small subunit ribosomal RNA
Source: RNAcentral